Molecule: ribosomal RNA, 189 nt
Filed under: Triticum aestivum (bread wheat)
Lineage: Eukaryota; Viridiplantae; Streptophyta; Magnoliopsida; Poales; Poaceae
Description: partial small subunit ribosomal RNA
Source: RNAcentral
AUGACCAUAGAUCGAACAUGUCCCUUUUUUACAGUGCAAUGGCUGGCUAUUCAUGAACUAGCUGUACCUAUUGUUUUUUUCUUGGGAUCAAUAUUAGCAAUGCAGUUCAUCCACGAUAAACCAAAUUCCAACUGUAGAACUAUGACACAAUCAAACCCGAAUGAACAAAAUGUUGAAUUUUUUACAUAG